Molecule: ribosomal RNA, 253 nt
Filed under: uncultured bacterium
Lineage: Bacteria
Description: partial 16S ribosomal RNA
Rfam family: Bacterial small subunit ribosomal RNA
Source: RNAcentral
UACGUAGGGUGCGAGCGUUAAUCGGAAUUACUGGGCGUAAAGCGUGCGCAGGCGGUUUUGUAAGUCAGAUGUGAAAGCCCCGGGCUUAACCUGGGAAUGGCAUUUGGGACUGCAAGGCUGGAGUGUGGCAGAGGAGACUGGAAUUCCUGGUGUAGCAGUGAAAUGCGUAGAUAUCAGGAGGAAUACCGAUGGCGAAGGCAGGUCUCUGGGCUGACACUGACGCUCAUGCACGAAAGCGUGGGGAGCAAACAGG